Molecule: ribosomal RNA, 581 nt
Filed under: uncultured bacterium
Lineage: Bacteria
Description: bacterial SSU rRNA
Rfam family: Bacterial small subunit ribosomal RNA (bases 1-518)
Source: RNAcentral
CCUACGGGAGGCAGCAGUAGGGAAUAUUGGUCAAUGGGCGAAAGCCUGAACCAGCAACGCCGCGUGCGCGAUGAAGGCCUUCGGGUCGUAAAGCGCUUUUGGGAGGGAUGAAAAUGACAGUACCUCCCGAAUAAGGAUCGGCUAACUACGUGCCAGCAGCCGCGGUAAGACGUAGGGUCCAAGCGUUAUCCGGAAUUACUGGGCGUAAAGGGCGUGUAGGAGGUUGGGCAAGUCGGCCAUGAAAGCUCCCGGCUCAACUGGGAGAGGCUGGUCGAUACUGCCUGGCUAGAGGGCAAGAGAGGGAGGUGGAAUUCCCGGUGUAGUGGUGAAAUGCGUAGAUAUCGGGAGGAACACCAGUGGCGAAGGCGGCCUCCUGGCUUGUACCUGACUCUGAAACGCGAAAGCAUGGGUAGCAAACAGGAUUAGAAACCCUGGUAGUCCAUGCCAUAAACGAUGUCAACUGGGUNUCGGCGAGUAAAAUUUGUCGGUGCCGAAGCUAACGCGUUAAGUUGACCGCUGNGACACGANGCAGAUAAACUAAUANAUAGAGCNGAGACGNGCGAGACGACGACGAGGAGUAG